UAUUACUAUAUAUAUUUAUUACUAUAUAUAUUUAUUACUAUAUAUAUUUAUUACUAUAUAUAUUUAUUACUAUAUAUAUUUAUAUAUUACUAUAUAUAUAUUACUAUAUAUAUUCUUUUUUUCUAAAUUCUUCUUGGAGAUAUUAUAUCGAAAGGUACAAUAUCAAAAAGUACAACAUUGGAAGUUACAAUAUUAGAAGAUACAUCUAUUAUGAAGAUGAAGAUGAUGAAGAUACAUCUAUUAGAAGAUACAUCUAUUAUGAAGAUGAUUGAUGAAGAAGAACUGGAAUGAAUAUGAUCUUGGCGUCCUGUUUAUUGAAGCAUAAAUCGGUUUUCUUCUACUCUUAGCUAAUGUGCGUUAUCCUUCAAAAAGGUAAUUCAAAUUAGGAUAAGAAGAUGAUGUGUACAUAUAUUUAUAUAUUGUGCUUGCAGGAAACUAUGGAGGAACCCACUAUGCUGUACAUCAUAAUUUAAGAUACUUUAAGUAACUUAAAAAUCUGACUUCUAAUCUGAAUAUUACGAAUUAGUACCAAUGUUGAUGAACCUUUUAACAUGAGUUUAAACUCUCUUUACACAAAGACUUAAACUCAAAUUAAGGUUUAAUUGACAUUGAUAGAGACGGACAUGUGUAUAUCGUGUAUUGAUUGAAAGAAUCAAGGGAUAGGAAAAAUUAUAUUUCUAAAUGUAUGACAUAACUAGAAGACAUAGGUAAUAGCUGAUACAUUUAUAACUACAAUAUAAAGAUGUAUGUAAGAUAUAUAAAGACUGAGCAAUAUGGAGAUGUUAACACACUAGCAAGUCUGUAUAUUCUGAUGAGAUGUAACAGGUACAAGUUUAUAAUUAUUUAAUGAUGUAUAAGAUUUAUUUUUUAUUGCAGCAUAUUUAUGAUCUCUCUAGCCAUUCAGCCUUUGACACAAGUCAACUUAAGCCUUUGCCUGUCAACAUAAAUUGUGACAUAGUCCGCAAGAUUUACUUGCACCAAAAGAAAAAUAUAUAAUUAGUUAUUACACCGUUGGUGGAAUGUCAUUGUCAUUAAAUGGAUAUUUUCUUAUAUUUUCAGCUCAAAAUGUAAGUAAGGAAACAAAAGGAAGAUACAUUACCUAUCAUGACAUGUAAGUAGGAUAAGGCAUAUAGGUGUGACAACAACAAAAAGCCCCUGUAAGAGUUUUCACGAGAAGUGUAGGAUAAAUAAUCAAGAAAUACAACAGCGGAAAAUACGAUAGCAAAAGAGGUACAAUAAUGGAAUACACAAUAAUAUGAUACAACAAUGGAAGAUACAUAAUACAAGAUGCGACAAUAGAAGAAUUAACAAUACAUAUUACAACACUGGAAGAUAGAAAUAUUUUGGAAGGAUCGGCUAGAAGACUUGUCUGGAUUCAAUAUAAUUCCGGCGAAGAUAUAUAUCUUUAUUUAUAAUAGUAAAUUUCUUUAAUCUAUGGAACUAAAAGGAAAUAAUGCAUUAUAUACUGAUCUAAAUUUAUAUGAAACUGCAUAUUAGAUAUUUUCUCACAGAAUAUAUACUGAAGCACACAUUUUUAUCUUGAAAAAACUGCACAACCAUAAUCUGCAAUUAAAACACGAUUGGUUAUUCAGUGUUUAAGGGAAUAAAGGAUAAUGUAUUAGAGAGUAGAAGAAUUUAGAGAAGUAAAAAGGUAUGUAUGUAGAAUGUAGUAAUGUAUUUGACAUUAUUUAACCAAUAUUUUUUAUACAGCGUGUAGAAAAAUUUUCAUUACAGCAAAAUAUCGUGAAAAAUAGAAGUCUUAUAAAAAAAUGUUUCAGACAAUAGUUGUAAGAUUUAAAAAGGUCUAUUUAUUGGCUUUUUCAGAUUUUUUGUUCUAUAUUUGUACUCAUUUCUUCUAUUCUAUUUCUGUAGCUUUUCAUAUUUUAUGCACUUGAAUCUCAAGUAUAUGUCUUUAAGGGAUAAACCUUAGGAUUUGUUUUAUUGUUCCCCGCGCAUACUAUCAUUAACAAACACCCUAUUUAAGAUAUAAGAUGUUAUUAAUAGUAAAUAAUGUUAAAAUAGAUUAACAGGCAUUCUUCCCGAUUACAAUUUAAAUUUAAUCGAUAAUAUUCAUAAAUUUUAUUAAAUUAACAAUAAAAGCACAAAAAAUAUAUUUUUUAUCCAAAUUAUUUACUUUUGUAGCAAAAUUAUAAUAUAAAAAAUUACUGUGUUGGUUACAUCAUAUCAAGACAAUACGAAGGACAUUUAUAUCAAUCAAAGAAGUAGUGUAGUGCUUCAAGUGAUACUCAGGAUCUAGAGAAGUUUCGAGUUCGAGUCUCACCAGUGCUAAAUGUGAAUUCUUAAAUAUAAUAUAGUGUAAAAUCAAGAAAAAUAGUUAAAUUUCAAGAAUUUUCUUCAUAGCAACAUUG
Odontomachus brunneus is the source of this 2369-nucleotide long non-coding RNA. RefSeq lists it as uncharacterized. The record is from RefSeq and is a predicted model, not a curated record. NCBI's taxonomy places the organism in Eukaryota, Metazoa, Arthropoda, Insecta, Hymenoptera, Formicidae. The transcript is spliced from 3 exons.